Molecule: unclassified non-coding RNA, 1656 nt
Filed under: uncultured fungus
Lineage: Eukaryota; Fungi
Description: sequence contains 18S rRNA gene, ITS1, 5.8S rRNA gene, ITS2, 28S rRNA gene
Rfam family: Eukaryotic large subunit ribosomal RNA (bases 590-1656)
Source: RNAcentral
GGAAGGAUCAUUAAAAAUGCGGGGGGAGCUCCUUUGGGGGCUUUCUUUCUAUUUUUUCUGUGCACUGUUUUUUUUGAGGGGGCAUCCUUUAUUGGUUCCUCUUCAGCCCUGGGCCAGUUCGUUUUUUCCUUUGGGAGAAAAUCGGCUAGCCCAGUGUUCUCUCUGCAAAGAGGGGACAACAUAUAACUAUUCUGACUGAACCACAAAGAAAUUUGUUAACAAUAAACAACUUUCAGCAAUGGAUCUCUCGGCUUUCGUAUCGAUGAAGAACGCAGCAAAUCGCGAUAUGUAGUGUGAUCUGCCCAUAGUGAAUCAUCAAAUCUUUGAACGCAUCUUGCACCCCUGGGUAUUCCUGGGGGUACGCCUGUUUCAGUAUCAAUUUAUUCUUCCCAAGCUCAAUUUACUUGUUCUUGGGGAAAAAUCACCAUUGGCCUCGAGACUGGGCUUCACCGCCCACUUCCCGGCUUAAAUUCGGCUAGUUUUUUCUAACUGGUAGUUACCUUUUUGGUAGAUUUAUCUGCUUCAAAAUUAUCCCUAUCAGCUAAAUGAAACUCCCUGGGUCUUUCGGCCCAGUCAACUCUUUAUCACUUGAUCUUAAAUCAGGCGGGAUUACCCGCUGAACUUAAGCAUAUCAAUAAGCGGAGGAAAAGAAAAUAACAAUGAUUCCCCCAGUAACGGCGAGUGAACAGGGAAAAGCUCAAAGUUGGAACCUCCUGGCCCUAGGCCUGGCGGAUUGUAAACUAAAGCUCUCGAGUAGUUUGGCUAGCCCAGUAAUCAAGUUCUCUGGAAAGGGACGACAAAGAGGGUGAAAUCCCCGUUUUUGGCUGGAGCAUAGUCUUGCGUUUGCUUGGAAGCGAAGAGUCAGGUUGUUUGGUAUUGCAGCCUAAAGCUGGAGGUAAAUCUCUCCUAAAGCUAAAUAUUGACGAAAGACCGAUAGCGAACAAGUACCGUGAGGGAAAGAUGAAAAGCACCUUGAAAAGGGGGUCAAAAAGUACGUGAAAUUGCUGAAAGGGAACCGUAUGAAAUCAGCCUGUCCCUUUGGUAAUCAACCUGGACUUUGGUCUGGGUGCACUUGCCAGUGGGUACAGCCUGCGACAAUUUGAUUUGGGGGAAAAAAUCAGGGGGAAUGUGGCCUCGGCUUCCGGUCGUGGUGUUAUAGCCCUUUGAAAAAUACCCUGGGUUGGAUUGAGGACUGCAGCGAGCCCUUUGGGGAUGAACUGUGGGCGCUUGGUUCGUGUUGGGAGGAAAUCUCUACUUCGGGUAGUGUUCUUCCAGCAUGGGCCAACCCGCCUACUUUUUCUUUUUCUCGCUUAGGUCGCAGGCCUAAUGAUUUUAUAUGACCCGUCUUGAAACACGGACCAAGGAGUCCACCAUGGUUGCGAGUCUUUGGGUGUAAAAACCCAUAGGCGGAAGGAAACUGACCUAGAUAUGAAGGCCGCAAGGCUGGCAAUAUCCUCCAGCGAGGACGUUUUAUACUGAAUUGACUGAGAGAAAGCACCUAUGAUGGGACCCGAAAGAUGGUGAACUAUACUUGAAUAGGGUGAAGCCAGAGGAAACUCUGGUGGAAGCUCGUAGCGAUUCUGACGUGCAAAUCGAUCGUCAAAUUUGAGUAUAGGGGCGAAAGACUAAUCGAACCAUCUAGUAGCUGGUUCCUGC